Molecule: small RNA, 311 nt
Filed under: uncultured bacterium
Lineage: Bacteria
Description: bacterial SSU rRNA
Rfam family: Bacterial small subunit ribosomal RNA
Source: RNAcentral
AGACAUACAAGUCGAACGAGAAAGUGCCCCCUCGGAAUCUAAUUAUGUCGCAUACUGGUGAAAAAUAAAUGAGCACCUUGCCCUCAGGACGGGGAUAACCUCUAGAAUUGGGUGCUAAUUCGGGAUAAGACCAUGUUUCGCAUGGACUGUGGUAAAAAUUGGCCUCGACACUUAAGCUGGUACUUGGGGAGGGGCUCAGGCGGCAUUGUCUAAUUGGUAAGGUAACGGCCUACCAAGGCUAUGAUGUCUAGCUGGCCUGAAAGGGCGAUCGGCCCAACUGUUAUUAAAAUACGGUCUAAACUCCUACGGGA